AGUAAGAAAAAAUUUUAUAACAUUAAUACUAGAAUUAAAUAAAAAUUUAGAUGAAAAUUUUUCAAGCGAAUUGGAAUAUAGUGAAUUGAUAAAAAUCGUAACAAAAGAUUUUUUGAUACAUAAUGUUCAUUGUUGUGUUAAAAAAAUAAGUUAUGCACGGUUAGAAGAUCAUAAAAAAUUAAAAAAAAGACAAGUGUGUUUUUUUUUGGAUGUGGCAUCUAGAUUAAUAACAUAUUCCAUUUGGAAAAAUAAUAUUAAAGAGCAAGCAAAAGAUAUUAUGAAUUUAGUAAAUGAAUAUCCCAUUUUUAUGAUAUGCGUAAGUAAAUAUUGUAGUGACCUUAAACUAUUAAAUAGAUAUAAACUGGCUGCUGUUCUUUUUGAUAUAGUUAACGCAAAAUUAAGAGAAGAAGAAGAAAAUUUGGUUUUAUUAAAAAAUAUAAAAAAUAAUUAUCUAUGGGAAUAUGAUGACUUAUUUACGGAACAUAGUGGCAUUAUAAACACAUACCAAUCCAAUAUUAUUAAAGAUGAAAAUAUAAAAAAAAAACAUAUUAGAUAUGGAUCCUUAUUAUAUUGUGUAGCUAACUUUUUGAAGCCAAAAAAUGAUAAAGAAUUAGAUGUAAGUGAAAGUGAAGAAAUACAACUAUUUUUAAAACAGAAAUUUAUUGAAUCAUUUUUUGUAGACAGUUUAAAUACUUUGUUACAACCACAUUAUUUUAAAAUAUUAAAAAGUUUAAAUUUAGAUUAUACCAAUUUUAUAAACAUAUAUAAGUAUUGUAUUAAACAAUUGAAUACAUUAUAUAGUAAUAAAACGAAUAUAUAUUUUUGUAAACGCUUUAUUGUUCCAUUGUUUUAUAAAUGGAGAUUGCUUAACGAUAUUACAAAUAAACAUAUGAGUUAUUUAGGUUAUUUGACUCACCAGUUGGAAGUGUGUAUUAAAAUGUAUCAAACACCAAAUGACAGUACACAAGAUGGACAUGUAGUAUUAGGUCACAAAAAUGUUGUUCUUUCAGAUGUCGCUAACCACAACCACAAUGGGAAGGUAGCCGAUAUAGGAAUAAAUAGUGACAGUAGCGAUAGUAACAGCAUAACGAAUUUGUCCGAAUCCGAACAAGAAGACACUACAAAUAUGCAGAACAUGUCAAAUAAAAAAAAAAAAAAAAAAACGAAUGACACAGAAAAAAAAAAACAGUUAAAAGAAAUGAAUACGUUAGCAUUUGUAUUUAUAAUUGUAAAAAAAAAAAAAUAUAGACAGACUUUAUUUCGAACACAUGGUGAUAUAAUACACAAUUAUGUUCAUAAAUUUAGUUUUUAUCUUUUACAUACUUUCAAACAAAUAACUGCAAAUGAAUUUUCUAUACCCACAUAUUUUAUAUCACAAUAUUAUUAUGAAAAAAAUAAAAAUAAACUUGAUACUAUACCUAAACUGUUUUUAAACGAUGAAAAACAAAUUAAAGGAUAUAUGCAGUUAUAUAUUUCUUUUUUUUUCAUUUUCCAAACCUAUUCCAAUUAUAUAGUUUAUAGUUGGGAUGUUAUAUUACAAAAUAUAGUGAGUUGUAUAGAGCUAAUUAAUUCGCUCAAGUUUGAAAAAGAACUUCAAAUAAUUACAUUCUGUUUAAAAAAAAAAAAAAAAAGUAUCACCGCCGCUUCUAUGAAGGAAAGUGAUGCACAAAUAGAUGAGCGCGUUAUGUGGUCGACAUAUAUAAAGACGAUCAUUUGUCAUUUACUCUACUUUCUUGACAUGAUAGAAUUUAUUAUCGUACUGAAGAAAAUUUUAGUCGAAGAUAUUGAACUAAAUGGAUACAUGAGAACGAUUUUUUUGCUCUACAAAUGUUAUGAAAUAGUAAAUUUCAAUAAUUACGAGACAGUAGUGUUUUAUUUAAAAAUUUGGAAUAGAAUGAAUAACCAUAUUUAUUUUCUUUUUAAUACCCCGUAUUUUGAUAAAUCAACUGAAUCAAGGUUAUUAAUAAUAUACACUUUUUUUUUAUUUACUAACAAAUUUAUUUCCAAACAAUCUAUCUUAAGAAUGAUUAGUAGCUAUUCGAGUGUUGCAAAAAUAAAAAAAAAUAUAUUAAACAACCAUUUAAAAAAUUUUGUAAAUCAUACUGAAACGGUAAAUUAUAUGCGACCGAAGCAAGUAAAUCUUAUCCAGAAGAUUGUGGAUUCAUUCUUGGCAGCACAAUUAUUAGAACCGAUAAAAAAAAAGAGAGGAAGAAAAAGACAUAUAAUUAUCCCGCACACUAUAAAAAUGAAGAAACAAGAGAAAAAACAGACGAAAAUGAAGGUGAAAGCGAAAACGGAAAAAAAAAAGAAGGUGAAGAAGAAGGAGAAGGAGAAGGAGAAGGAGAAGGUGAAAAAGAAAAAGAAGAAAAAACAAAAGAAGAAAAAAGAAGAAACGGGGGAGAAAACUAACGAGAUAGACAUAGUAGACAAGGACAAGAAGGACAAGAAGGUCAAGAAGGAUAAGAAGGAUAAGAAGGAUAAGAAUGAUAAGAAAGAUAAAAAAGAUAAAAAAGAUAAAAAAGAUAAGAAAGAUAAAAANNNNNNNNNNAAAAAAGAUAAAAAAGAUAAGAAAGAUAAAAAAGAUAAGAAAGAUAAGAAAGAUAAGAAAGAAAAGAAUGACGAAAAAGACAUGUCAGACAUGUCAGUCGAGAAAGACAAAAAAUUUAACAAAAACAAGAAAAUGAAUAAAGAUAAAAAAAGAAAGAAGGACAAAAAGGCCGAUAAAGCUAAGAAAACGAAAAAGAAGAUCGAAAAAAAGAGUGAAAAAAAGAAGAAAAUACAAACUGAUGAGCGUUCAUAAAAUAAUAACAAUGUUUUUUUAUUAUUAAAUGUUAAUUAUUUAAUUUUAUAUUAAUAUGCAUUUUUUUAUGGAUCUUGCUUAUUUAUGUAAUUAUCGUUUACGUUGAUAUGAUGCUUUUUUU
This 2921-nucleotide long non-coding RNA is filed under the name Piliocolobus tephrosceles (Ugandan red Colobus). RNAcentral describes it as "lncRNA (ENSPTEG00000002995.1)". Lineage: Eukaryota; Metazoa; Chordata; Mammalia; Primates; Cercopithecidae. The record is from RNAcentral.